CCUAAACCAUAAACCCUACCAAAAAACAUCCUAAUACGAAUCACAGAGAACGUAGAGUACUCCCUGUCCAGUCUUGCUACUUCCGGCAGCUCCAUUCUCCAUUUCCUCUUACUUUUAGACCGUCGAUCGUUACAUAUUGGGGCAAUGUUCAGAGCUGCAUUAGCUGUUGCUUCAUCAAUCAGGUCCUCAACUUCCAGGAAAUUGGUUUCUAGUAGGGUUGUUUCAAGCAGAAAUUAUGUUGCCAAGGAUAUCAGUUUUGGUAGCCACGCACGGUUAGCCAUGUUACAAGGAGUUAAUGAGCUUGCAGAAGCUGUAAAAGUCACUAUGGGACCAAAGGGUCGUAAUGUAAUUAUUGAGAGAAGCCCAGGGAAUCCCAAGGUCACAAAGGAUGGUGUCACUGUAGCCAAAAGCAUCAACUUUAAGGAAAAGGCAAAGAAUGUGGGAGCUGAUCUUGUGAAGCAGGUUGCUAAUGCUACUAAUUCAGUUGCUGGAGAUGGUACCACCUGUGCAACUGUGCUUACUCAGGCAAUUUUCAUAGAAGGUUGCAAAGCUGUUGCUGCAGGUGUAAGCGUGAUGGAUUUGCGUACUGGUAUUAACAUGGCCGUUGAUGCUGUUGUUGCUGACUUGAAAAGCAGAGCCGUCAUGAUUAGUACCCCGGAGGAGAUUACACAGGUGGCAACUAUAUCUGCAAAUGGUGAAUGUGAAAUUGGGGAACUAAUAGCUCGAGCCAUGGAAAAAGUUGGGAAGGAAGGAGUGAUUACUGUUGCUGACGGAAAUACGUUAGAUAAUGAGUUGGAAGUGGUGGAAGGCAUGAAGCUUGGCCGUGGUUAUAUAUCUCCUUAUUUUGUCACGGACGUGAAGACUCAAAAAUGUGAAUUGGAAAAUCCAUUGAUCCUUAUUCAUGACAAGAAAAUCUCAGAUUUGAACUCGCUUGUGCGGAUAUUGGAGCUUGCUCUUAAGAGAAGGAGGCCUCUGUUAAUUGUUGCUGAAGAUGUGGAAAGUGAUGCAUUAGCUAUGCUUAUCCUAAACAAGCAUCGUGCUGGGAUUAAGGUCUGUGCCAUUAAAGCUCCUGGUUUUGGGGAUAAUAGAAGAUCCAACUUGGAGGACCUUGCAGUUCUUACUGGAGGAGAGGUCAUUAGUGCAGAACGCGGUUUAGAUCUGAACAAAGUUCAAAUUGAUAUGCUUGGUACUGCCAAAAAGGUUACUGUUUCCCUUGAUGACACCUUAGUUCUGCAUGGAGGUGGGGACAAAAAGUUAAUUGAAGAAAGGUGUGAGCAGCUAAGAAUAGCCAAGGAAAAGAGUAGUGCCAUGUUUGAUAAGGAGAAAGCUCAGGAGCGUUUGUCAAAACUAUCUGGUGGUGUUGCUGUGUUCAAGGUUGGAGGGGCCAGUGAGGCGGAAGUUGGGGAAAGGAAAGAUAGGGUUACAGAUGCCUUAAAUGCAACAAGGGCUGCUGUGGAAGAGGGCAUUGUUCCAGGUGGCGGUGUUGCUCUCCUAUAUGCAAUCAAAUGUCUUAAAGGCCUUCAGACUGCAAAUGAUGGCCAAAGAAAGGGAGUCGAGAUCAUUGAGAAUGCUCUCAAGGCACCUACUUUUACAAUAGCUUCAAAUGCCGGCACUGACGGUGCCUUGGUUGUAGGCAAGCUCUUAGAACAAGAUGAUUCAAAUCUAGGAUAUGAUGCAGCUAAAGGUACGUACCAACACAUGGUGAAGGCUGGAAUUAUUGAUCCCAUGAAAGUAGUUAGAACAGCAUUGGUGGAUGCUGCCAGCGUCUCUUUGCUAUUGACGACAACUGAGGCUGCCAUUGUGGACCGUCAAGGGGAGAUAAACCCACUUGCAAACCGCAUGCCAAACAUGGGUGAUAAGUACUGAUAUUGCAAACACAGAUGAACUUGAUGAUCGUGUUGUGGCUGUGACGAAGCAAUCCUAAGACGGGUUACUCUACGGGACACGCUGUUGAUUUAUUCAUUUAGUGUGUAUUUUGCGUUGGAAUGGAAUUAUGCGAAGACCAGUUGGUUCGAGCCCAAAGCAAUAAAUUUAGUUGAAUUCUGUAUAGCCACGAAAGAGAUUGUAACUUGUAAUAGUUUAGCUCGAGCGGAAAAUAUAUUUGCUCUACGGAGUAAUACGACGUGGAAUGACUUUAUUUGAGUUUUAAUAUUAACAUACUACUUUAACCCAAAAAAGAAAAAACACGAAAGAGACGAUAAAUAAAGAGAUCAUUGUACUGA
RNA transcript from Lycium ferocissimum, 2222 nucleotides. It is a transcript of the gene named chaperonin CPN60-like 2, mitochondrial, with no coding region annotated. NCBI's taxonomy places the organism in Eukaryota, Viridiplantae, Streptophyta, Magnoliopsida, Solanales, Solanaceae. The transcript is spliced from 19 exons. The record is from RefSeq and is a predicted model, not a curated record.